AGCAGAAGUUUCUUGGGUCAGUUAGUGGAUAUUUGCUGUUUGUAGGGCUGAAGGCAUGCACCUCUCUGUGGCUCACCAGCCACAGGCGGGAGAAGAACAGACUGUGGGCCAAGGAGGUCUGUGAGUUUUGGGAAAGUGAACCUCACUGCCAUUUUGACCGAACCCCAUUGGUGGUUUAGGGAUCUGAGCCCAUCUGGAGUCCACACACGAAGAGGAGUCAAGCUGCAAGCAGGACAAGAGCUCAUGGCUGGAGCUGCUCUUCCAGAUAAUUCUUGUCUGACCAAGUCUGGAGAAGAGCAAUAUUCACUUAGAGGGGCCUGUGAUAUUAAACAAAUGCAACUGUCUCCAAAGAAUUUUUACCAAUAGAAAUUGUGUUAUGAAGCAGUUGCUUGUCCA
Molecule: non-coding RNA, 396 nt
Organism: Lepisosteus oculatus (spotted gar)
Lineage: Eukaryota; Metazoa; Chordata; Actinopteri; Semionotiformes; Lepisosteidae
Source: RefSeq, a predicted model, not a curated record